AUGCAUAUUUUUCUAAACCAAAAUACUGCUUAUUUUCGUAGUGUAUAUUUUGAAAUAAUGACUGGUCAAAGAGGAGUAUCAAUGCAUUUGAAGGAGCAAAGUGUGAAAGAUUUCAGCAGGAAGAAGCUUGAUCUCAGGAAAUUGAUGUAUUCCACGUUGGAUACUGCACUGCACCUCCAGUUUAGACAGAAGAGGAGUUGUGUUAGCAAAUGCUCAACCAAAUGUAAAAACAUUGCUAAAGUAAUGGACUCCAACAAAGAUCCGAUUUUACUUUGGGGGAGAAAAUUGAUCUUCAGAAAAGUGAAUUGGAGCUGCAGCUUUCCUGCUGUGGGAGAACCCAGGCUAUGUGGGACGUGUUCAGGCUUUUGUUGUUUUUGUUGUUGCCAUGAUAAAAGAAGAGCAGCAUUACAUGAAGGAAGUGCAGUUAAACCAGACUUGAGAAAUUCCAUGCUUUAAGAACAUGACAUCAAGAAACUUUUCCAAUUAUGCUUUGAAAUGGAUAGUGGUAAGUAUAACUAUUAUUUCAUAUCAGGUACAAAUUACAGAAGAAAAUACAGGGUAUUUUUGCAGAGAGAAAUAGAAAUGUUAGAUAUUACUGUGUCGUGCAGAAUCUGUUAAACAAAAGCAAUCAGUUGUGUUAGAGAGUGAUAAUAUAGGAAAAGGUUUAGAUGUGGUUUUGCAACAUAGAUACCACAAACAAUAUCUGUUAACAAAAAACAAAAAGGGAAAAUCCUUUCUUAAUUGUUUUUAAUUUUUCAUGAGCAC
This 765-nucleotide long non-coding RNA is filed under the name Numida meleagris (helmeted guineafowl). Its description in RNAcentral is "lncRNA (ENSNMEG00000010189.1)". Lineage: Eukaryota; Metazoa; Chordata; Aves; Galliformes; Numididae. The record is from RNAcentral.